This 260-nucleotide ribosomal RNA is filed under the name Clostridioides difficile. RNAcentral's name for it is "partial 23S ribosomal RNA". It matches the Rfam family "Bacterial large subunit ribosomal RNA", at positions 1918 to 2177 of the family's 2925-position model. The record is from RNAcentral. Lineage: Bacteria; Bacillati; Bacillota; Clostridia; Peptostreptococcales; Peptostreptococcaceae.
CCCCAGUAAACGGCGGCCGUAACUAUAACGGUCCUAAGGUAGCGAAAUUCCUUGUCGGGUAAGUUCCGACCCGCACGAAAGGCGUAACGAUUUGGGCACUGUCUCAACAACAGACUCGGUGAAAUUGUAAUUCCGGUGAAGAUGCCGGAUACCUGCGACAGGACGGAAAGACCCCAUGGAGCUUUACUGUAGCUUGACAUUGGGUCUUGGUACUACAUGUACAGGAUAGGUGGGAGGCUUUGAAACCAGGACGCCAGUUU